CUAAGGCCCCAAAGUUAGCAAAUUAUCAAUCGUUACAGAGUCGACCCCUCACCUUUGAGUGCGCGUCCUAACUUGUAGUACAUGGUGUAAAUGGAUUUGUUUUGGGUACCCAGAAAGCAACGAACGUGACCGCAACGUCUUGUUGUCUCUCUUUGACAGUUAUGGGUUAUCCCAGUCAUGUGUUUAUACUUUUAUGUGUAAAUACGUACGACACAGAGACUAGAUACCAAACUAGGCGUACCGCUGUAUCAUUUCUUUAAACCAGAGGAAGGUUGCGGCAAUAACAGGUCUGUGAUGCCCUUAGAUGUUCUGGGCUGCACACGUGCUACAAUGAUCAGCACAGUAAGCAUCUCAAUUUUUACAACACCGUCAACACACGUAGUGAGCUGCUUGAUCUCUCAUUCAUGCAUUCUGUGCUUCGGUGCAGUGUGCAAUGUGAGUUGUCUAAUGCGCGCGGUUAUGCCUGUACCGAGAGGUGACGUCGGGUAAACAUUCUCUAAUGCUGACCUAUUUUUCUGAAAUAUGCACAACUCUAAUAUGACAUUCAUUCCCGGGAGGACUAGUUGCCUCUUUGUGUGAGUGUAAUGCAAACAUGAAUAGCGACUGUCGCUGUUUACUCAUAUGUGCCCCUGUCAAUUCGUGGUGGGGACAGACCAUUGCUAAUUGUUGGUCUCGCUUAUAACUAGGAAUGCCUAGUACGGG
This 702-nucleotide ribosomal RNA is filed under the name Neogloboquadrina incompta. RNAcentral describes it as "partial 18S ribosomal RNA". It matches the Rfam family "Eukaryotic small subunit ribosomal RNA", at positions 1303 to 1623 of the family's 1831-position model. The record is from RNAcentral. Lineage: Eukaryota; Foraminifera; Rotaliida; Globorotaliidae.